UGCGAACUGGAUGUUGGUCUCAACUCGGAGAUCAGUGUCGAAGCUAACGCGUUAAGUUCGCCGCCUGGGGAGUACGGUCGCAAGACUGAAACUCAAAGGAAUUGACGGGGGCCCGCACAAGCGGUGGAGUAUGUGGUUUAAUUCGAUGCAACGCGAAGAACCUUACCUGGCCUUGACAUGUCUGGAAUCCUGCAGAGAUGCGGGAGUGCCUUCGGGAAUCAGAACACAGGUGCUGCAUGGCUGUCGUCAG
Molecule: ribosomal RNA, 250 nt
Filed under: uncultured bacterium
Lineage: Bacteria
Description: partial 16S ribosomal RNA
Rfam family: Bacterial small subunit ribosomal RNA
Source: RNAcentral